This 549-nucleotide ribosomal RNA is filed under the name uncultured bacterium. RNAcentral describes it as "bacterial SSU rRNA". It matches the Rfam family "Bacterial small subunit ribosomal RNA", at positions 775 to 1319 of the family's 1533-position model. The record is from RNAcentral.
AGAUAAUAGAUACCCAGGUAGUCCACGCCCUAAACGAUGUCGACUGGUUGUUGGGGGUUUGACACUCUCAGUAAACGAAAGCUAAACGCGUGAAGUCGACCGCCUGGGGAGUACGGCCGCAAGGUUAAAACUCAAAGGAAUUGACGGGGACCCGCACAAGCGGUGGAUUAUGUGGAUUAAUUCGAUGCAACGCGAAAAACCUUACCUACCCUUGACAUGUCCUGAAUCCCGGUGAGAGCUGGGAGUGCCCGAAAGGGAACGGGAACACAGGUGCUGCAUGGCUGUCGUCAGCUCGUGUCGUGAGAUGUUGGGUUAAGUCCCGCAACGAGCGCAACCCUUGUCAUUAGUUGCUACAUUCAGUUGGGCACUCUAAUGAGACUGCCGGUGACAAACCGGAGGAAGGUGGGGAUGACGUCAAGUCCUCAUGGCCCUUAUGGGUAGGGCUUCACACGUAAUACAAUGGCGCGUACAGAGGGUUGCCAAGCCGCGAGGUGGAGCCAAUCCCACAAAGCGCGUCGUAGUCCGGAUUGGAGUCUGCAACUCGACUCC